UUGUGAGUAAAUUCUACAAUAAAUACUUAGUUUUACUUUCAGUAAGUGUGUCGUUUAUAGUUACAGCAUUAUUUUGGUGUCAGGAGUUUCAGGAUCCAGAUCCAGGCACCCAGAAAAGCGGCUGCUCCUCGGCCUGACCAGGCACACGUGGACUCUCCUUUCGCUAAGUUCCCCACCACUUUGCUCGGCAAGGCAUGAUUCCUGCCCCUGGGAACCAGCACCUUUUACCUGCCGAAAGAACAGCACUCAACUUCAUUUAAAAAAUCCCAGGGUAUCUAAAAGAAUACUGUACAAACAAACACAACAACAACAAAAACAAAAAAUGGACAAAGAACCCCCAGAAGGAGAAUAAAGGCAUGCAUCUAAGGACUCUGAAGACCACCAGACAAAUAAGAUAUGUGAAGAAAAAGGUCAAAUCAUACAGAAAAACUAUACCAAGAACAAGAGUUAUUUGGCCUAUUAGUAUAUCCCAUCUCCAACAGGAUACAAUUUCAUAAAUCCUCCCAACAGUUUGUUUCUGCUUCAGACAUAUAAUGCAAAUGGUUUUUUGUAGCCCCAAUCUAAUUAAAAAUUAAAACUGGCUUUUGA
Mesocricetus auratus (golden hamster) is the source of this 588-nucleotide long non-coding RNA. RefSeq lists it as uncharacterized. Lineage: Eukaryota; Metazoa; Chordata; Mammalia; Rodentia; Cricetidae. The transcript has 3 exons. The record is from RefSeq and is a predicted model, not a curated record.